RNAcentral lists this ribosomal RNA (669 nucleotides) under Lacticaseibacillus paracasei subsp. paracasei. RNAcentral describes it as "bacterial SSU rRNA". It matches the Rfam family "Bacterial small subunit ribosomal RNA", at positions 57 to 692 of the family's 1533-position model. Lineage: Bacteria; Bacillati; Bacillota; Bacilli; Lactobacillales; Lactobacillaceae. The record is from RNAcentral.
GCAGUCGACGAGUUCUCGUUGAUGAUCGGUGCUUGCACCGAGAUUCAACAUGGAACGAGUGGCGGACGGGUGAGUAACACGUGGGUAACCUGCCCUUAAGUGGGGGAUAACAUUUGGAAACAGAUGCUAAUACCGCAUAGAUCCAAGAACCGCAUGGUUCUUGGCUGAAAGAUGGCGUAAGCUAUCGCUUUUGGAUGGACCCGCGGCGUAUUAGCUAGUUGGUGAGGUAAUGGCUCACCAAGGCGAUGAUACGUAGCCGAACUGAGAGGUUGAUCGGCCACAUUGGGACUGAGACACGGCCCAAACUCCUACGGGAGGCAGCAGUAGGGAAUCUUCCACAAUGGACGCAAGUCUGAUGGAGCAACGCCGCGUGAGUGAAGAAGGCUUUCGGGUCGUAAAACUCUGUUGUUGGAGAAGAAUGGUCGGCAGAGUAACUGUUGUCGGCGUGACGGUAUCCAACCAGAAAGCCACGGCUAACUACGUGCCAGCAGCCGCGGUAAUACGUAGGUGGCAAGCGUUAUCCGGAUUUAUUGGGCGUAAAGCGAGCGCAGGCGGUUUUUUAAGUCUGAUGUGAAAGCCCUCGGCUUAACCGAGGAAGCGCAUCGGAAACUGGGAAACUUGAGUGCAGAAGAGGACAGUGGAACUCCAUGUGUAGCGGUGAAAUGCGUA